RNAcentral lists this ribosomal RNA (314 nucleotides) under uncultured bacterium. RNAcentral describes it as "partial 16S ribosomal RNA". It matches the Rfam family "Bacterial small subunit ribosomal RNA", at positions 495 to 807 of the family's 1533-position model. The record is from RNAcentral.
GUAUAAGAGACAGCAGUCGCCACGGGAAAACGGAGGAUCCAAGCGUUAUCCGGAAUCAUUGGGUUUAAAGGGUCCGUAGGCGGUCUUGUAAGUCAGUGGUGAAAGCCCAUCGCUCAACGGUGGAACGGCCAUUGAUACUGCAGGACUUGAAUUAUUGGGAAGUAACUAGAAUAUGUAGUGUAGCGGUGAAAUGCUUAGAGAUUACAUGGAAUACCAAUUGCGAAGGCAGGUUACUACCAAUUGAUUGACGCUGAUGGACGAAAGCGUGGGUAGCGAACAGGAUUAGAGACCCCUGUAGUCCCUGUCUCUUAUAC